Molecule: transfer RNA, 87 nt
Filed under: Chitinophaga sp. CF418
Lineage: Bacteria; Pseudomonadati; Bacteroidota; Chitinophagia; Chitinophagales; Chitinophagaceae
Description: tRNA_Leu_TAG
Rfam family: tRNA
About the family: Transfer RNA (tRNA) molecules are approximately 80 nucleotides in length. Their secondary structure includes four short double-helical elements and three loops (D, anti-codon, and T loops).
Source: RNAcentral
GCCCAGGUGGCGAAAUUGGUAGACGCACUGUGCUUAGAACGCAGCGUUCGUAAGGACAUGCUGGUUCGACUCCAGUCCUGGGCACAA